GAGCAUGGUAAGUUUUAGUAAGUAGUGUGACAGAGGUUAUGUGGAGAAAGGGAAAGCGAAGUAAGCAGGCACGUUUCUUUUCUCUAUUUCCAGAGAAGUUGUGCAGAGUAGGAGAAUAGGAAUUUGUACAUAUUAAAUGGGUGGAUAGUAAGAAUGUUGAUGGUGGUUUAGAGGUGCAGGGAAGGAUUUUAUUCUCGGUUGUUGAGGGGGAAGAAUGUUUGAGUGAGGUUUUGCAUGGGAAAAGCUUUCUCGUGCACUUCCUGCAACAAGAACGUAGGUAGCAGUAAUGAAAAUAAAGGCAUGGAGAGGUAUGACGAGUGUUUGAAUGAGUUAGAGAAAGAAGGUAUAACUUUCUCUAGGUUUGGGUUUGAGUGCCUACUUAUAUUCUACACCUCUUUGUAUUGCUUUUAAGCUUUUUGACAUCUUAAAAUUGACCAAUUCAAGUUAUAUUUU
RNAcentral lists this long non-coding RNA (453 nucleotides) under Vigna radiata. Its description in RNAcentral is "long non-coding RNA (VRAD_LNC000898)". The record is from RNAcentral. Lineage: Eukaryota; Viridiplantae; Streptophyta; Magnoliopsida; Fabales; Fabaceae.